Ornithodoros turicata is the source of this 571-nucleotide long non-coding RNA. RefSeq lists it as uncharacterized. The record is from RefSeq and is a predicted model, not a curated record. The transcript has 2 exons. Lineage: Eukaryota; Metazoa; Arthropoda; Arachnida; Ixodida; Argasidae.
UCGAGCAUCGCGACGGACGCACACACGCAGCUUCACUCUCCGUGCCCAGUCCGGCAGAAAUGCGUGGAUAUCAACCAUUGAGGUCUCAACUGCCAUUAUCUUGGCCUUUACUUUCUCGGUAAGAUUGUCCGCCAGUAAGAAACGUCUGCGACAGCAGCGCCUGCAGCGAGGAACGUGAGAGGGUUCCCGAGCAAAAAAGGCCGCGGUCAUCCAGACUAAACAUGUGCAGCACAGAAGAGGCUUCCAGAUGUUUUCUCCCCCUCUUGUCUUGGCGGCGGGGAUGGUCCAUUGAAGGCUUUAGAGGAUUUUCUUCCAUACACGUACAAGACGCCCGGCGCGGUAUGGAAUGUAAAGAAGUAUGGAGCUCCGUUGGACGCAUCUUCUGGAUAGUGGGUAAGUAUUUUCACUUUACGGCCACAAACGAUUCUUCGCCAUUCGUUAAUAGUGAGACAGCCUGGAAAACAAUGAUCCGUGGUGUUUUCAGCAUUUGUUGGUGAAAUGAUUAACGCCUUCUCCUGCAUUCAACGUUUCUCACUUGAACAAAAUGAUGUAAUAAAGCAUUUGUGACUCA